RNAcentral lists this long non-coding RNA (917 nucleotides) under Marmota monax (woodchuck). Lineage: Eukaryota; Metazoa; Chordata; Mammalia; Rodentia; Sciuridae. The record is from RNAcentral.
GUGAGAAGUUCUCCUGGCAGAACAUGUGAACUUGAGUGAGCUGAGGUGGAGAUGUGGUCUCAGGCACGCCCAGGGGCCGCAGAGGUUCCUGGGUAUUGCAUGGCAGAGACCAAGUGGUGUGCGAGGGGUUGUCUUCCUCUUUACCUGCUCCUGUCUCCAAUGUCCCAUGGCGAAUGCUAUCUCCUUGUCCAAAGCACCUCAUGGAAGAUGGGCAGCUCAUUUUGACAGGCGCACUCCUCCCAGUGCCCCUCCCCUGGAUCACGGUGUGGUAUGCUUCCCCUGAGAGCCCGGAGAGGAGAAGGUCCUCUUAUUCCAAAUGCCUCCUGCUGGGCACAAGGCAGACUCAGGUCAUAAGUCAAGGAGAAUUUUGCACAUUGUUCUUAACCUGAGCUAGAGGCCUCCCUGGGGUCAUAUGAGGACACAGCCAGAGGGUGGCCUUGAGGCCCUUGAGGGCACUCCCUGGGCUGGGCUGGCCUGGCACUGUGCGGCUGCUUGCCUGGGAGGGCUCCUCUUGGGCUGAUGUCUGGCUCACAAACCUCAGAGGCUGCUGAGCACCGCUCCUCCCGACCACAGCCCUCCAACCACACUGGGUCCCCCUACCGCAGGGUUGCUGUGCAGGCUCUGGUACUCGUGUUGCCAUUGUCCUGCCCCCUGAGAUGCCCCCUGAGAGGGUCUGGACCCUCCUGCCAGGGGAGUCCUUUUAGUACGAGGCCAAGGUGUGGCAGACGAACUGAGAUUAUGCUUCUAGACUCGGGCUGUGUGAUCCGCCUUCCCUGGAGAACAUCUUCUGAAACAACCCCAGAUCAGAAGGUUUCAUGGGCCUCUUCGGCGAUGCCCACAGGGCUGAGCCUUGCCAUAGCCAUCUCCCUCUCCACCGAGGGCUCAGCUCACCGCCAGGGAAGAGUCCGUCAGAAAUA